AGGACGAACGCUGGCGGCGCGCCUAACACAUGCAAGUCGAGCGAGAACCAGGGCUUGCCCUGGGGACAGCGGCGAACGGGUGCGUAACACGUGAGCAACCUGCCCCAAAGACCGGGACAACCCGAGGAAACUCGGACUAAUACCGGAUGCCCUCACCGGGUCGCAUGGUCUGGUGAGGAAAUGGAUUCCGCUUUGGGAUGGGCUCGCGGUCUAUCAGCUUGUUGGUGGGGUAACGGCCUACCAAGGCGACGACGGAUAGCUGGUCUGAGAGGACGAUCAGCCACACUGGGACUGAGACACGGCCCAGACUCCUACGGGAGGCAGCAGUGGGGAAUCUUGCGCAAUGGGGGAAACCCUGACGCAGCGACGCCGCGUGCGGGAUGAAGGCCUUCGGGUUGUAAACCGCUUUCAGCAGGGACGAACUGACGGUACCUGCAGAGAAGCCCCGGCAACUACGUGCCAGCAGCCGC
Molecule: ribosomal RNA, 470 nt
Filed under: uncultured bacterium
Lineage: Bacteria
Description: SSU rRNA
Rfam family: Bacterial small subunit ribosomal RNA
Source: RNAcentral